RNAcentral lists this ribosomal RNA (1542 nucleotides) under Escherichia coli. Its description in RNAcentral is "bacterial SSU rRNA". It matches the Rfam family "Bacterial small subunit ribosomal RNA". Lineage: Bacteria; Pseudomonadati; Pseudomonadota; Gammaproteobacteria; Enterobacterales; Enterobacteriaceae. The record is from RNAcentral.
AAAUUGAAGAGUUUGAUCAUGGCUCAGAUUGAACGCUGGCGGCAGGCCUAACACAUGCAAGUCGAACGGUAACAGNAAGCAGCUUGCUGCUUUGCUGACGAGUGGCGGACGGGUGAGUAAUGUCUGGGAAACUGCCUGAUGGAGGGGGAUAACUACUGGAAACGGUAGCUAAUACCGCAUAACGUCGCAAGACCAAAGAGGGGGACCUUCGGGCCUCUUGCCAUCGGAUGUGCCCAGAUGGGAUUAGCUUGUUGGUGGGGUAACGGCUCACCAAGGCGACGAUCCCUAGCUGGUCUGAGAGGAUGACCAGCCACACUGGAACUGAGACACGGUCCAGACUCCUACGGGAGGCAGCAGUGGGGAAUAUUGCACAAUGGGCGCAAGCCUGAUGCAGCCAUGCCGCGUGUAUGAAGAAGGCCUUCGGGUUGUAAAGUACUUUCAGCGGGGAGGAAGGGAGUAAAGUUAAUACCUUUGCUCAUUGACGUUACCCGCAGAAGAAGCACCGGCUAACUCCGUGCCAGCAGCCGCGGUAAUACGGAGGGUGCAAGCGUUAAUCGGAAUUACUGGGCGUAAAGCGCACGCAGGCGGUUUGUUAAGUCAGAUGUGAAAUCCCCGGGCUCAACCUGGGAACUGCAUCUGAUACUGGCAAGCUUGAGUCUCGUAGAGGGGGGUAGAAUUCCAGGUGUAGCGGUGAAAUGCGUAGAGAUCUGGAGGAAUACCGGUGGCGAAGGCGGCCCCCUGGACGAAGACUGACGCUCAGGUGCGAAAGCGUGGGGAGCAAACAGGAUUAGAUACCCUGGUAGUCCACGCCGUAAACGAUGUCGACUUGGAGGUUGUGCCCUUGAGGCGUGGCUUCCGGAGCUAACGCGUUAAGUCGACCGCCUGGGGAGUACGGCCGCAAGGUUAAAACUCAAAUGAAUUGACGGGGGCCCGCACAAGCGGUGGAGCAUGUGGUUUAAUUCGAUGCAACGCGAAGAACCUUACCUGGUCUUGACAUCCACAGAACCUUGUAGAGAUACGAGGGUGCCUUCGGGAACUGUGAGACAGGUGCUGCAUGGCUGUCGUCAGCUCGUGUUGUGAAAUGUUGGGUUAAGUCCCGCAACGAGCGCAACCCUUAUCCUUUGUUGCCAGCGGUCCGGCCGGGAACUCAAAGGAGACUGCCAGUGAUAAACUGGAGGAAGGUGGGGAUGACGUCAAGUCAUCAUGGCCCUUACGACCAGGGCUACACACGUGCUACAAUGGCGCAUACAAAGAGAAGCGACCUCGCGAGAGCAAGCGGACCUCAUAAAGUGCGUCGUAGUCCGGAUUGGAGUCUGCAACUCGACUCCAUGAAGUCGGAAUCGCUAGUAAUCGUGGAUCAGAAUGCCACGGUGAAUACGUUCCCGGGCCUUGUACACACCGCCCGUCACACCAUGGGAGUGGGUUGCAAAAGAAGUAGGUAGCUUAACCUUCGGGAGGGCGCUUACCACUUUGUGAUUCAUGACUGGGGUGAAGUCGUAACAAGGUAACCGUAGGGGAACCUGCGGUUGGAUCACCUCCUUA